AAAUUGAAGAGUUUGAUCAUGGCUCAGAUUGAACGCUGGCGGCAGGCCUAACACAUGCAAGUCGAACGGUAACAGGAAGCAGCUUGCUGUUUCGCUGACGAGUGGCGGACGGGUGAGUAAUGUCUGGGAAACUGCCUGAUGGAGGGGGAUAACUACUGGAAACGGUAGCUAAUACCGCAUAACGUCGCAAGACCAAAGAGGGGGACCUUCGGGCCUCUUGCCAUCGGAUGUGCCCAGAUGGGAUUAGCUAGUAGGUGGGGUAACGGCUCACCUAGGCGACGAUCCCUAGCUGGUCUGAGAGGAUGACCAGCCACACUGGAACUGAGACACGGUCCAGACUCCUACGGGAGGCAGCAGUGGGGAAUAUUGCACAAUGGGCGCAAGCCUGAUGCAGCCAUGCCGCGUGUAUGAAGAAGGCCUUCGGGUUGUAAAGUACUUUCAGCGGGGAG
Molecule: ribosomal RNA, 449 nt
Filed under: Shigella flexneri
Lineage: Bacteria; Pseudomonadati; Pseudomonadota; Gammaproteobacteria; Enterobacterales; Enterobacteriaceae
Description: bacterial SSU rRNA
Rfam family: Bacterial small subunit ribosomal RNA
Source: RNAcentral